UGCGCCUGCGGCGGACCCGGCACGGCGCAACCGACGGCUUCGCAGGCAGCCGCUCCGUGUACGGUCUGGUACAUCCCGUAAUUUUACGGGAUUUAACGUCUUCU
Molecule: small RNA, 104 nt
Filed under: bovine gut metagenome
Description: RT-5 RNA
Rfam family: RT-5 RNA
About the family: Clostridium (Firmicutes). Environment (Cow rumen (57))
Source: RNAcentral